UCUCCGUAGGUGAACCUGCGGAGGGAUCAUUACUGAGUGAGGGCUUCGGUCCGACCUCCAACCCUUUGUGAACCAAACUUGUUGCUUCGGGGGCGACCCUGCCGCUUCGGCGGUGCGGCGCCCCCGGAGGCCAUUAAACACUGCAUCUUUGCGUCUGAGUACACGAUUGAAUCAAUCAAAACUUUCAACAACGGAUCUCUUGGUUCUGGCAUCGAUGAAGAACGCAGC
Molecule: unclassified non-coding RNA, 228 nt
Filed under: uncultured fungus
Lineage: Eukaryota; Fungi
Description: sequence contains ITS1, 5.8S rRNA gene
Rfam family: 5.8S ribosomal RNA (bases 180-228)
Source: RNAcentral